This is a long non-coding RNA of Pan troglodytes (chimpanzee), 1187 nucleotides long. RefSeq lists it as uncharacterized. The record is from RefSeq and is a predicted model, not a curated record. NCBI's taxonomy places the organism in Eukaryota, Metazoa, Chordata, Mammalia, Primates, Hominidae. The transcript has 6 exons.
GGUGGUGGGAUUAGGGAGCUACUGCCCUUGGUCCUAAGAGCCACUGUCUUGCUGAGUUUUUCGAAGGCCUCUAAUACCAGCAUUUUGGGAGGCCAAGGCAAGAGGAUCACAAGGUGAGCAGAUCAGGACCUACCUGGCCAACAGAAUGAAAACCUGUCUCUACUAAACAAAAAAACUUAGCCAGGUUCUGUGCAGUACUGAAGAGCAACUUCAGCUCUUGAGUUACAGCUCAAUGCAACCUCCUGGCAGGCCAGCCUUAAGCCCAGCAGUCCAACCAUGCAUCUAAGCUGAGUUCUCAUCAGAGCCAACUUCAAUUAUAAACAAUUGAGAUGAUGCCAGAGGCCAGAAUCCCUGAGAACCCAAUUUGCUGUCAUCACCAUGGCUGAAACAAGGUGCUUGGCAUCUAGAAAAGGUGACCUUCAUAAUGCAGGCAAUAGAGAAUUGCAAGAUUUGUCAGAGAUUUCAGGUCUUUGGAAAGCUAUGCUCUUUCACAAGAACAGCCAUGGAAACAGGAAGAAAGUCAAUUCCCACUUAAGAGAUCAUCAGAGUCAAGCUACAAGAAAAGGAGGAACAUAUCUCAGCAAAGACUUAGAGGACUAAUACUGUGAAAUCAAAAUUUCAAGUGAGGGAAUAAAUGCAGCUUUUAAUGAUUACUUAAAUGAAGUUUAACUCUAGCAGGAUCUACAAGAAAUUGGCAACCUUUGGCUUCAGUAACAGAAACUCAGGAUAUAUGUCCUUCAGUGCUUUUGGAUUCUGCAUCAUAUUGAGAGAGACUCCUUUAAACAAGCAAUAAGAAACUUCCUGUGACAACAUAAUAAAUUCAAAAAGUUCUGUUACUCAGACAAUUUAGAUAGAAGCGAGGACUUUGGCCUAGACAGCCCUGUUCACUCUAAAGAUGGACUAAACAAUGAAAAAGAUAUUGACAUCAAAAAUUCAAUCAGGAAUUUGAUUAAAGCAUUUCAUUAAAUGUGAUAAUUUCUUAGUAUAUUAUCUUACAUAUGCAAUAUUCAUGUGUAACAAAUUAAAUACAAGUAAACAUUUGACUAUAUUAUCUGCAGCAUAAUUUACAUACAAUUAACAUAUUCAGUUUUGCUCACAUGAAAACAUGGAUCUUCUCAAUAAGAAAAUUUGUGAAAUCUUUAAUUCCUCAUCCCCAGGAAUGUAAAUAAAUAAAUAUAAAUACUGUA